Molecule: ribosomal RNA, 462 nt
Filed under: uncultured bacterium
Lineage: Bacteria
Description: bacterial SSU rRNA
Rfam family: Bacterial small subunit ribosomal RNA
Source: RNAcentral
ACUCCUACGGGAGGCAGCCAGUAGGGAAUAUUGGUCAAUGGACGGAAGUCUGAACCAGCCAUGGCCGCGUGCAGGAAGACGGCCUUCUGGUUGUAAACUGCUUUAUCAGGGAAGAAUAAGCUUCUUGCGAGAGGUGAUGCCGGUACCUGAGGAAUAAGCACCGGCUAACUCCGUGCCAGCAGCCGCGGUAAUACGGAGGGUGCAAGCGUUGUCCGGAUUUAUUGGGUUUAAAGGGUGCGUAGGCGGCCUGUUAAGUCAGUGGUGAAAGGUAUCAGCUCAACUGAUGACGUGCCAUUGAAACUGGCGGGCUUGAGUACAGACGAGGUAGGCGGAAUUUAUGGUGUAGCCGGUGAAAUGCAUAGAUACCAUAAAGAACACCGAUAGCGAAGGCAGCUUACUAGGCUGAGACUGACGCUGAGGCACGAAAGCGUGGGGAGCGAACAGGAUUAGAUACCCUGGUAG